CCUACGGGAGGCUGCAGUGAGGAAUAUUGGUCAAUGGACGCUAGCCUGAACCAGCCAAGUAGCGUGAAGGAUGACUGCCCUAUGGGUUGUAAACUUCUUUUAUAUGGGAAUAAAGUGCACUAUGUAUACUUCUUUGCAUGUACCUUAUUAAUAAGGAUCGGCUAACUCCGUGCCAGCAGCCGCGGUAAUACGGAGGAUCCGAGCGUUAUCCGGAUGUAUUGGGUUUAAAGGGAGCGUAGGCGGGUUGUUAAGUCAGUUGUGAAAGUUUGCGGCUCAACCGUAAAAUUGCAGUUGAUACUGGCAUCCUUGAGUACAGUAGAGGUAGGCGGAAUUCGUGGUGUAGCGGUGAAAUGCUUAGAUAUCACGAAGAACUCCGAUUGCGAAGGCAGAUUGCUGGACUGUAACUGACGCUGAUGCUCGAAAGUGUGGGUAUCAAACAGGAUUAGAUACCCUGGUAGUC
This 460-nucleotide ribosomal RNA is filed under the name uncultured bacterium. RNAcentral describes it as "partial 16S ribosomal RNA". It matches the Rfam family "Bacterial small subunit ribosomal RNA", at positions 338 to 795 of the family's 1533-position model. The record is from RNAcentral.